CCCUCCCUUUUGGGUUGCUAGCUUGGGCAACAGUUUGCAUGUGUAUUGGCCCAUCUUGGUUCAACGCAUUCUGAAAAGUGAGCAAUAAACUUUUUGGCAUGUCUGGUGGGACGUGAUAGCUAUAUUACUGCCUGAGAGGAGAAGUGAUAUAUAACUAUUGGGCAUAAAUCUUGGUUGAGGCCCUUUUAGUGGGGUCGCUGAUGAACAACAGAUGCACUAGGUUGUGUUACAGAGACAUAGUUCAUAGACUCGAUGUGGGAUAACUAUUGCUAAUGGUCAAAUUAG
RNAcentral lists this long non-coding RNA (285 nucleotides) under Elaeis guineensis (African oil palm). Its description in RNAcentral is "long non-coding RNA (EGUI_LNC048764)". Lineage: Eukaryota; Viridiplantae; Streptophyta; Magnoliopsida; Arecales; Arecaceae. The record is from RNAcentral.